UUUCCCCCCUCCCCAUCCUCCCCCAGGACUGUUCCUGCUCUCUGUGGAUGUUCCCAGCUCCUUCUGUGACUGUGGCUGGGGCAGCAGGUUGUAAGUGGGGGGCUCUUGUUGUUGAUACAGAUGCCGGUGACCUUCGAGGAGGUGGCUGUGUAUUUCACCCAGGGGGAAUGGGCCUUGCUGGACCUGGGUCAGAGAGCCCUCUACAGGGACGUCAUGCAGGAGAAUUACAGGAAUGUGACCUCGCUGGGUUUUCCAGUUCCCAAGUCCAGCGUGAUCUCCCAGCUGGACCGAGGGGAAGAGCCGUGGGUCCUUGAUCUCCAGGGGUCCCAGGCUAGAGAGAUCCAGAGAAACAUCCCCAGAGGUCAGGAUUGUGCCCAGAAGGUGUCAUGUCUUCGUGGCAGACAUAAUUCAGGGCUUUCCAAGCGCCAUGACUGACAUCUAGCAGGAGCUCCCUGCCCCCUGAGUGUUCAGACGGGAUAUGGAGGCAGAAUUGGCUGUUCUCCUUCCAGGGACUGACUCCUGUCCGGAUUCUCUCUGUCCCAGCAGGUGAUGAGACGCUGAGUGAGAGCAAUGAAGAGAAUCCUUGUCCCGCAGGUCCUGAGCGAAUGGAACCAAAGGGGGCGUUGCUGGGAAGGUGUGAAGUGGAUGAUCCCCAGAGUCAUGGGCAGGCCAGAGAAGCAGGAGGGAAACCCCCCCGGGAAGACACUGGGUGAAUCCACUCACCGAGGGGGAGGUUCAGAGGAUCCCAAUGCGGCCACAAUCCAGGCGAGAACCUGCACUAAGGAGAAGCAGUUUGAAUGUGCCGAGUGCAGGAAAUGCUUCAGUUGUAAAGGACACCUUGUUAGACAUCUGAGAGUCCACACAGGAGAGACCCCCUAUCACUGCCCUGAGUGUGGGAAACAAUUCAAUGACCAAUCAAUCCUUAUUAGACAUCAGCGAACCCACACAGGAGAGAGACCCCAUAAGUGCCCUGAUUGCGGGAAAUGCUUCAAUCAGAGGUCAGACCUUAUUGUACAUCAGACUGUUCACACGGGAGAGAAAUGCCAUAAAUGCCCUGACUGUGGACAAACCUUCAAUCAGCGUGGGCAUGUGACUAGACAUCGGAGGACUCACACGGGCGAGAGACCCUACGGAUGCCCCGAGUGUGGGAAAAGGUUUGCUUCCACCUCCGAAAUUAUUAUACAUCACAGAGUCCACACAGGAGAGAAACCCUAUAGCUGCCCCGACUGUGGGGAGAGCUUCAAAAGUCAAUCUGGCUUCAAUGUCGAUCGGAGAAGGCACACGGGAGAGUGCCCCUAGCAAUGUUCCGUCUAUGGGGAAAGGUACAAGUCCAGGACCUCUCUAACACGCCACAUGAAACACCACACCGACUAGUACUGGCCACUUCCCCGCCUCCUCUCUCUGCAUCCGUAGAGAUGGGGGGAAUCAUGGGGAUCAUAAACAAUUGCCCAACGCCCUAGGGAGCCAAGUGGCUCCACUAUUGACGUGAGUGCUGUGUGUCUCAAUAAGAUGGAGGCACCAGGCGAGUGACAUUAUUAUUACUGUAUUGCAUUAUUCUCUGACCCUCUCCCAUCCCUUCCCGGUGCUCUCUGUCAGGGGCAGGCCGAAGGGUUCAGCUGGGUGUCCUGGUCCCUGUUUUCAGCCAGGGGCUCGGUUCACAUUAUUGCACACUGGGAUUAUUUCGGAAAUUGCUGCCCCGGGAGGCAUUUUCUCCCUGUUUCAGCAUGGGGCGGCGGGGAGCGGAGGGGUCUGAAAUUUCUGGGAAGUCGGGUGUCUGUGGAGUCUUUAUUGCUCAUUGAAUGAUUUUCUCAGUAUUGUUCAGUUAUUUGUUCCCCCCAAAUAAGAUGCAAAUAAAACUUUUCUGGCAAAUCCC
This is an RNA transcript of Chrysemys picta bellii (western painted turtle), 1873 nucleotides long. It is a transcript of the gene named zinc finger protein 620-like, with no coding region annotated. The record is from RefSeq and is a predicted model, not a curated record. Lineage: Eukaryota; Metazoa; Chordata; Testudines; Emydidae.